CAGCAGUCGCCGCGGGAAUACGUAGGUGGCAAGCGUUGUCCGGAAUUAUUGGGCGUAAAGCGCGCGCAGGUGGUCUAAUAAGUCUGAUGUGAAAGCCCACGGCUCAACCGUGGAGGGUCAUUGGAAACUGUUAAACUUGAGUGCAGGAGAGAAAAGUGGAAUUCCUAGUGUAGCGGUGAAAUGCGUAGAGAUUAGGAGGAACACCAGUGGCGAAGGCGGCUUUUUGGCCUGUAACUGACACUGAGGCGCGAAAGCGUGGGGAGCGAACAGGAUUAGAGACCCGAGUAGUCCCUGUCUCUUAUAC
RNAcentral lists this ribosomal RNA (304 nucleotides) under uncultured bacterium. RNAcentral's name for it is "partial 16S ribosomal RNA". It matches the Rfam family "Bacterial small subunit ribosomal RNA", at positions 509 to 807 of the family's 1533-position model. The record is from RNAcentral.